RNAcentral lists this ribosomal RNA (391 nucleotides) under uncultured bacterium. RNAcentral describes it as "bacterial SSU rRNA". It matches the Rfam family "Bacterial small subunit ribosomal RNA", at positions 29 to 416 of the family's 1533-position model. The record is from RNAcentral.
AUUGAACGCUGGCGGCAUGCUUUACACAUGCAAGUCGAACGGCAGCACAGGGAGCUUGCUCCCGGGUGGCGAGUGGCGCACGGGUGAGUAAUACAUCGGAACGUGUCCUGUUGUGGGGGAUAACUGCUCGAAAGGGUGGCUAAUACCGCAUGAGACCUGAGGGUGAAAGCGGGGGAUCGCAAGACCUCGCGCAAUUGGAGCGGCCGAUGCCCGAUUAGCUAGUUGGUGAGGUAAAGGUUCACCAAGGCGACGAUCGGUAGCUGGUCUGAGAGGACGACCAGCCACACUGGGACUGAGACACGGCCCAGACUCCUACGGGAGGCAGCAGUGGGGAAUUUUGGACAAUGGGGGGCAACCCUGAUCCAGCCAUGCCGCGUGCAGGAUGAAGGCC